This is a long non-coding RNA of Pan troglodytes (chimpanzee), 434 nucleotides long. RefSeq lists it as uncharacterized. NCBI's taxonomy places the organism in Eukaryota, Metazoa, Chordata, Mammalia, Primates, Hominidae. The record is from RefSeq and is a predicted model, not a curated record. The transcript is spliced from 3 exons.
CAUACCUCAAAUAUGUAUUCCAGUAGCAUCUAGAAGACAAUCUCUUCACUGACACUGAUCUGGUCACAGGAAAUAGAGAUAUACUACUAAACACAAAAUGAUCCUCUGACAAGUGAUGAAGAAGACUGGGAAGAUGUGAAAAUCCAAGCAAGAAGAACUUAUGGGAAGCAACUCAACAUCUAAGAAGAAAUGAAUAGGGAUCAGUUCCAAGAAGAGAUAAAGGGGAAAUACCCAAGAACUGGGAUGCUUCGUCUUUGGUUUCUUCUGGAUCCUCCCUAAAUUUUGGCUAAGAAAUCUGAGUCUCCAUUUAAGAGUGUUCCCAGAAAUGAUGACAUCCACAUCCAGGAACCUCCUCCUUCCUUCACUUGAACUCUCUUGCUUCUGGGGAGCCAGGACCUAUGCAGUAAAAAUCAAGUUCAUUUGGUGACACAUUC